RNAcentral lists this ribosomal RNA (207 nucleotides) under uncultured bacterium. RNAcentral describes it as "partial 16S ribosomal RNA". It matches the Rfam family "Bacterial small subunit ribosomal RNA", at positions 568 to 774 of the family's 1533-position model. The record is from RNAcentral.
CGCGCAGGCGGCCAGGUCAGUCGAAUGUGAAAGCCCCCGGCUCAACUGGGGAAGGUCGUUCGAUACUGCCUGGCUCGAAGAUAGGAGAGGGAAGUGGAAUUUCAGGUGUAGUGGUGAAAUGCGUAGAUAUCUGAAGGAACACCAGUGGCGAAGGCGACUUUCUGGCCUAUUCUUGACGCUGAGGCGCGAAAGUUAGGGGAGCGAACG